GCGGGAAUAGCUCAGUUGGUAGAGCGUCAGCCUUCCAAGCUGAAUGUCGCGAGU
RNAcentral lists this transfer RNA (54 nucleotides) under Fusobacterium sp. CM1. Its description in RNAcentral is "tRNA-Gly". It matches the Rfam family "tRNA", at positions 1 to 52 of the family's 71-position model. Rfam says of the family: Transfer RNA (tRNA) molecules are approximately 80 nucleotides in length. Their secondary structure includes four short double-helical elements and three loops (D, anti-codon, and T loops). Further hydrogen bonds mediate the characteristic L-shaped molecular structure. tRNAs have two regions of fundamental functional importance: the anti-codon, which is responsible for specific mRNA codon recognition, and the 3' end, to which the tRNAs corresponding amino acid is attached (by aminoacyl-tRNA synthetases). tRNAs cope with the degeneracy of the genetic code in two manners: having more than one tRNA (with a specific anti-codon) for a particular amino acid; and 'wobble' base-pairing, i.e. permitting non-standard base-pairing at the 3rd anti-codon position. Lineage: Bacteria; Fusobacteriati; Fusobacteriota; Fusobacteriia; Fusobacteriales; Fusobacteriaceae. The record is from RNAcentral.